Long non-coding RNA from Pseudoliparis swirei, 431 nucleotides. RefSeq lists it as uncharacterized. The transcript has 2 exons. The record is from RefSeq and is a predicted model, not a curated record. NCBI's taxonomy places the organism in Eukaryota, Metazoa, Chordata, Actinopteri, Perciformes, Liparidae.
UAGAGUUAAAAUACAUUCAAUGAAUAUGACAGAGUGUAUGAAUAGUUCAUAGGAGGCAUAUUCCACGAUGCAGACCUCCACGAUCCAUCAGGCAGAUGGCGGUGGGGAGGAGGAGGUCUCCAUCGUGGAAUAUGCCUACUAUGAACUAUUCAUACACUCUGUCAUAUUCAUUGAAUGUAUUUUAACUCUAAAUCUGUCCUUCUGGUCACAUGACAUCUAUUGCAUCUGUCCAUCCUGCAGAGGGAUCCUCCUCUGUUCUCUCCUGAAGGUUUCUUCCCUUUUUUUCCCCCUGAAGGGUUAUUUGGGAGUUUUUCCUGGUCCGAUGUGAGGUUUUGGGGCAGGGAAGUCUAUGUGUACAGAUUGUAAAGCACUCCGAGACAAAUUUGUAAUUUGUGAAAUUGGGCUAUACAAAUAAACUGAAUUGAAUUGAA